RNAcentral lists this non-coding RNA (27 nucleotides) under Mus musculus (house mouse). Lineage: Eukaryota; Metazoa; Chordata; Mammalia; Rodentia; Muridae. The record is from RNAcentral.
UNGGGCCAAGAAGUGGGAAUGGGUGGG